GAUGAACGCUGGCGGCGUGCCUAAUACAUGCAAGUCGAGCGAACAGACGAGGAGCUUGCUCCUCUGACGUUAGCGGCGGACGGGUGAGUAACACGUGGAUGACCUACCUAUAAGACUGGGAUAACUUCGGGAAACCGGAGCUAAUACCGGAUAAUAUAUUGAACCGCAUGGUUCAAUAGUGAAAGACGGUUUUGCUGUCACUUAUAGAUGGAUCCGCGCCGCAUUAGCUAGUUGGUAAGGUAACGGCUUACCAAGGCAACGAUGCGUAGCCGACCUGAGAGGGUGAUCGGCCACACUGGAACUGAGACACGGUCCAGACUCCUACGGGAGGCAGCAGUAGGGAAUCUUCCGCAAUGGGCGAAAGCCUGACGGAGCAACGCCGCGUGAGUGAUGAAGGUCUUCGGAUCGUAAAACUCUGUUAUUAGGGAAGAACAAAUGUGUAAGUAACUAUGCACGUCUUGACGGUACCUAAUCAGAAAGCUACGGCUAACUACGUG
RNAcentral lists this ribosomal RNA (497 nucleotides) under uncultured bacterium. RNAcentral's name for it is "partial 16S ribosomal RNA". It matches the Rfam family "Bacterial small subunit ribosomal RNA", at positions 28 to 507 of the family's 1533-position model. The record is from RNAcentral.